CGUAAUCGUACGCGUACAGAGGCAAGCAAUUUUGUAGCGUACGCUCACAGAUUGAUUUUCAUUUCAACUCAAAUCACAAACGUAUUUGAGGAUUUCGUUAGUGGUAGACUUGUUUUGUGUUAAUCACCGUUUCAUUUUUGGUCUGCUUCAGGGAAUUAAUAAGUUUAGUUUAAUUAAGUUAUAACUUAUGAAUUCCGUCAUAAUGGAUAAACAAUAUCUCUAUGAUGGUAGAGAUCACAAAGAGGCCACCAUGACUACAAAUCAGCUACAAGUGAACACCAAGGCUUCUCAUACGGCCGUCCUGCUCGGCCCAGAGACUUCCACAAUAACAUGUCCUCAAUGUGGUAGUACUGUGAAGACCAGGGUUCGUUUUACAACUACUGCAAGGACUCAUAUAGCUGCUGCCCUUUGUGGAUUUAUAUGUUGUUGCUGCUGCAUCCCGUAUUGUUCAAGCUCAGCAAAAAACACGGAUCACUUCUGCCCUAAUUGCUUGAAAUACCUUGGCACUUACGAAAAAUAGCGACUAAAUUAAGAGGACUAAGAUACUAAGAUAUAUUUACUUUAUCUUUUAUUAUACCAAUACAAUAUAGAUAUUGAAAUGUUACGAAUGAUUAAUAACCUGGAAAUGUUGUCUUUCUGUAACAUUUGCUAAUAAGAAUACUAUGUAUCCAAUUUUUUACAUACACAUAUAUGUUCAAUAAAGUAAAAGAUGAAUCUUAA
Long non-coding RNA from Pieris brassicae (large cabbage white), 720 nucleotides. RefSeq lists it as uncharacterized. The record is from RefSeq and is a predicted model, not a curated record. The transcript is spliced from 5 exons. Lineage: Eukaryota; Metazoa; Arthropoda; Insecta; Lepidoptera; Pieridae.